Molecule: non-coding RNA, 1023 nt
Organism: Castor canadensis (American beaver)
Lineage: Eukaryota; Metazoa; Chordata; Mammalia; Rodentia; Castoridae
Source: RefSeq, a predicted model, not a curated record
UUAAAACUUAGCGCUUUGCUCCGCCUGGGCAGGCGUGCACCACGUGACCCACAGCCCCUUUCACUUAGUCAUCUUUCAGGCAGAAUGUUGUGCUUUUUACUGACGUUCCUGUGAACUGAGAGGAAACAACAACAUGGCGGCCUUCGUGUUACUGAGCCUGGCUCCCUGCACUACCCUGGUGGACACCAGGAAACCUACAGAUCCCGGGUCCUGUGUCGAUGACUGAACCCGGACAAGCAGUUAAGACUCAAAGCAGAUCUACUCCACGCACCUGGAGUUAAGAGUUUGAGCAAGCACAAGUACGUCCCCAGGCCUGGCCUCGAACCGCGAUCCUCCCGCUCUCUGCCUCCUGAGCAGCUGGGAUUACAGGCGUGAGCGCCGGCACCCAGCUUGAAUUCGUCGCUCUGAGGACUAGGACUUGUCCCCACAGGGAAAACCCAGUCCCAAACUGGAAAAAUGGGUUUGCCCCUUGGUCCUCACCAACCUGACCUCCCAGGUGGAAUCUGACUGCAGACAGACAGACAGACAGAGAGACAGGGGACAGAAGAGCACAGAGGGCCAUGGUCCCCCCCGUUGCGGUGUCAGGGAUUCAUUUCACCUCUGAUAUUCGGUAGAAAUGUGAGACGAGCUCAAGCACUGACCCCAUCUUCACCCCACAAAUGACCUAAAACCAGGCGCAGCUUGGCCUCCCUGCCGCCAUCUUGGAUCUGUCUUUGCUCUGAGCCGUUUCUGCAGUCGCUCUGCAAACACCUUGGGUCCCAGAAAGGACAGAACUGAUGAUAGCUUCAUGACAAGGGACUGGAAUUUCCCAUAGGAACAGUGGACACUCGUAGGACAGACACCCCACAAAUGAGGACCAGGACCUGUGGCUGCAGUGACCUCAUGGGAACCAGAUCUGUGUCCCCUCAAGAGGUGACAUCUUCUGGGGAACCCCUGGUGGCCCUUGGACUCAGAUAAUAGCCAAGCAGAACCCACCUGGGGCUGGGACUUUUUAGACCCACUUGGUCCCCUGUCCCUCAUUCU